GCCCACUGGCGGGGUGCUACCAUGCAGUCGACGAUGAUGCCCAGCUUGCUGGGUGGAUUAGUGGCGAACGGGUGAGUAACACGUGAGUAACCUGCCCUUGACUCUGGGAUAAGCCUGGGAAACUGGGUCUAAUACCGGAUACGACCAUUGCCCGCAUGGGUUGGUGGUGGAAAGCUUUUGUGGUUUUGGAUGGACUCGCGGCCUAUCAGCUUGUUGGUGAGGUAAUGGCUCACCAAGGCGACGACGGGUAGCCGGCCUGAGAGGGUGACCGGCCACACUGGGACUGAGACACGGCCCAGACUCCUACGGGAGGCAGCAGUGGGGAAUAUUGCACAAUGGGCGAAAGCCUGAUGCAGCGACGCCGCGUGAGGGAUGACGGCCUUCGGGUUGUAAACCUCUUUCAGUAGGGAAGAAGCGAAAGUGACGGUACCUGCAGAAGAAGCGCCGGCUAACUACGUGCCAGCAGCCGCGGUAAUACGUAGGGCGCAAGCGUUAUCCGGAAUUAUUGGGCGUAAAGAGCUCGUAGGCGGUUUGUCGCGUCUGCUGUGAAAGGCCAGGGCUCAACCCUGGUUCUGCAGUGGGUACGGGCAGACUUGAGUGAUGUAGGGGAGACUGGAAUUCCUGGUGUAGCGGUGAAAUGCGCAGAUAUCAGGAGGAACACCGAUGGCGAAGGCAGGUCUCUGGGCAUUAACUGACGCUGAGGAGCGAAAGCAUGGGGAGCGAACAGGAUUAGAUACCCUGGUAGUCCAUGCCGUAAACGUUGGGCACUAGGUGUGGGGGACAUUCCACGUUUUCCGCGCCGUAGCUAACGCAUUAAGUGCCCCGCCUGGGGAGUACGGGCCGCAAGGCUAAAACUCAAAGGAAUUGACGGGGGCCCGCACAAGCGGGCGGAGCAUGCGGGAUUAAUUUCGAUGCAACGCGAAGAACCUUACCAAGGCUUGACAUGGACUGGAUCGCAUCAGAGAUGGUGUUUCCCUUCGGGGCUGGUUCACAGGUGGUGCAUGGGUUGUCGUCAGCUCGUGUCGUGAGAUGUGGGUUAAGUCCCGCACGAGCGCAACCCUCGUUCCAUGUUGCAGCGCGUUAUGCGGGGACUCAUGGGAGAACUGCCGGGGGUCAACCUCGAGAAAGUGGGGGAUCGC
Molecule: ribosomal RNA, 1139 nt
Filed under: Arthrobacter woluwensis
Lineage: Bacteria; Bacillati; Actinomycetota; Actinomycetes; Micrococcales; Micrococcaceae
Description: bacterial SSU rRNA
Rfam family: Bacterial small subunit ribosomal RNA
Source: RNAcentral